Molecule: ribosomal RNA, 315 nt
Filed under: uncultured Archaeospora
Lineage: Eukaryota; Fungi; Glomeromycota; Glomeromycetes; Archaeosporales; Archaeosporaceae
Description: SSU rRNA
Rfam family: Eukaryotic small subunit ribosomal RNA
Source: RNAcentral
AGCAGCCGCGGUAAUUCCAGCUCCAAUAGCGUAUAUUAAAGUUGUUGCAGUUAAAAAGCUCGUAGUUGAAUUUUGGGUCUGGCCGGGCGGUCCACCUUUCGGUGAGCACUGUUCCGAUGUCGGGCCUAUCCUUCUGGUGAGACGGCAUGCCCUUCACUGGGUGUGUCGGGGAACCAGGACCAUUACCUUGAAAAAAUUAGAGUGUUCAAAGCAGGCGUUUGCUCGAAUACAUUAGCAUGGAAUAAUGAAAUAGGACGCGUGGUACUAUUUUGUUGGUUUCUAGGACCGCCGUAAUGAUUAAUAGGGAUAGUUGGG